Molecule: ribosomal RNA, 429 nt
Filed under: Bacteroidota bacterium
Lineage: Bacteria; Pseudomonadati; Bacteroidota
Description: Bacteroidetes bacterium partial 16S ribosomal RNA
Rfam family: Bacterial small subunit ribosomal RNA
Source: RNAcentral
UAGGGAAUCUUCGGCAAUGGGGGGAACCCUGACCGAGCAACGCCGCGUGAGUGAAGAAGGUUUUCGGAUCGUAAAGCUCUGUUGUUAAGGAAGAACGAGUGUGAGAAUGGAAAGUUCAUACUGUGACGGUACUUAACCAGAAAGGGACGGCUAACUACGUGCCAGCAGCCGCGGUAAUACGUAGGUCCCGAGCGUUGUCCGGAUUUAUUGGGCGUAAAGCGAGCGCAGGCGGUUAGAUAAGUCUGAAGUUAAAGGCAGUGGCUCAACCAUUGUAGGCUUUGGAAACUGUUUAACUUGAGUGCAGAAGGGGCGAGUGGAAUUCCAUGUGUAGCGGUGAAUUGCGUAGAUAUAUGGAGGAACACCGGUGGCGAAAGCGGCUCUCUGGUCUGUAACUGACGCUGAGGCUCGAAAGCGUGGGGAGCGAACAGG